Molecule: ribosomal RNA, 899 nt
Filed under: uncultured bacterium
Lineage: Bacteria
Description: bacterial SSU rRNA
Rfam family: Bacterial small subunit ribosomal RNA
Source: RNAcentral
AGAGUUUGAUCAUGGCUCAGGAUGAACGCUGGCGGCGUGCCUAAUACAUGCAAGUCGAACGAAGACUCCGGUACUCGUAUUGGAAAUUCUUAGUGGCGAACGGGUGAGUAACGCGUUGGUAAUCUGCCCCAAAGAGAGGGACAACAUUUCGAAAGGAAUGCUAAUACCUCAUGUGAUCAUAUUGAUUAGAUGCUUUAUGAUUAAAGGAGCAAUCCGCUUUGGGAGGAGCCUGCGUCCCAUCAGCUAGUUGGUAAGGUAAUGGCUUACCAAGGCAACGACGGGUAGGGGACCUGAGAGGGUGGUCCCCCACACUGGUACUGAAACACGGACCAGACACCUACGGGUGGCAGCAGUAGGGAAUAUUGCACAAUGGGCGAAAGCCUGAUGCAGCAACACCGCGUGCGCGAUGAAGGCCCUCGGGUCGUAAAGCGCUUUUAUGAGGGAAGAGAAAGGACGGUACCUCAUGAAUAAGGAUCGGCUAACUACGUGCCAGCAGCCGCGGUAACACGUAGGAUUCGAACGUUAUCCGGAUUUACUGGGCGUAAAGCGCGUGUAGGCGGUCUGACAAGUUGGAUGUGAAAGCUCCGGGCUCAACCCGGAGACGUCGUUCAAAACUGUCAGACUAGAGGACGAUAGAGGAAGGUGGAAUUCCGGGUGUAGUGGUGAAAUGCGUAGAUAUCCGGAGGGACACCAGUGGCGAAGGCGGCCUUCUGGGUCGUUCCUGACGCUCAGACGCGAAAGCAUGGGUAGCGAACGGGAUUAGAAACCCCGGUAGUCCAUGCCGUAAACGAUGUAGACUUGGUGUCGGUGGCGUAAAAACUGUCGGUGCCGAAGCUAACGCGAUAAGUCUACCGCCUGGGGACUACGACCGCAAGGUUAAAACUCAAAGGAAUUGACGG